RNAcentral lists this ribosomal RNA (111 nucleotides) under Caerostris darwini. The record is from RNAcentral. Lineage: Eukaryota; Metazoa; Arthropoda; Arachnida; Araneae; Araneidae.
GACGGCCGUACCAUGCUGAAUAUACCGGUUCUCGUUAGAUCACCGAAGUUAAGCAUCAUUGGGCGCGGUCAGUACUUGGGUGGGUGACCACCUGGGAACACUGCGUGCCGU